UACGUCAUCAAAGCUCGGCGGCUGAAGGUGGGAAAGCCAAGGCUACUGCCGUCGCUAGUGCGCAAGCUCAAAGCGAGGUUGGCACCCGCGGAGCUGGCUAGGAGAAGCAAGCACUGUUCAAAGCAACUUCCAUACAUGUGCUUUUCCCAACAACCCUAAGUAGAUGAGGAUUUUGAUGCUUACAUAAAUGAAGUAACUUACCAAAGGUAAGAAAUGGUUCAACCACCAGCCGGGUGGGUGGAGAAAGGAAAUUCUUGGUGGCAUAAGUUUCAAUCAUAGCCCACCAUCUCAGCCAUAGAACACAUGAAGAGGUCGUGAUUAUGAAGGGCCACACAGAAGAACCAGUGUUUUUCAGGUCACAGAAAAUGGUGGGACAAUCUCUUCAUUGCUGAAUUUAUAAUCUAUACUUUUUGGAUUCUUGACAAAUGCUUUCAAGGUUACUGUAUCUAUGGUGCUGUUCAUCUUGGUGUUUAAAUGCUCAUAUCCAUUAAGCCAAAAGAAAACACACACGAGCCAUAAAAAGAGACUUUGCCUCUCCCAAGCCAGCAGCCUCUAGACUGAGCAUCUCCAGGCAAACCCUGGCUCAUCUGAAGCUUUUACCUUCAAGAUUUCAAAGAAAGGAGCUGAGAUCUUUGAUGGCAAGACUCCAAGAUGGCCCCUGAUGAUCCUUACCCCUGAUGUUCAUGUCCUUGGACUCCUUCACUGUAAGGCUCACCUGUGUGACUAAUAGGACAUUACAGAAGUGUUGAUAUAUGACUUCUUAAGCUAACCACAAAGAGCUAGCCUUGUUCUCUUGGGCCACUUGCUAUGGGAGAAGCCAGCACAGUGUUAUAAGGACACACAAGCAGGCCUGUGGAGAAGUCCAUAUGGGAAAGAGCUGAGGCCUCUCACCAACAGCCAGCACUGUUCUGGUGAUAAAAGUGAGCUACCUUGGAAGUGGAUCCUCCAGUUCCGGACAAGCCUUCAGGUGACUGUGGCCUUGCCUGACAUCUGACCCUAACCUCGCAAGAAACUCCAGGCCAGGAUCACCAAGCUAAGUGCUACCAAACUCUUAACUCACAGAAACUAUGAGAGAGAACCAAUGUUUCUGUUGUCUUAAGGCAUUGAGUUUUGGGGUAAUUUGUUACACAGCUCUGGAUAAACUGGAUUUCUUUAAAAGCUACACCAUAUAGACUAUGGGUGAUCUUAACCAAAUACAGAUAGGUGUUAGGGACUUAAACGAACAUUUCAAGUAAUUGUUUAUUGUAUUGUUUCUGCUUUCCACCAAGGAAAUUCAAUUUCAAGUCAACAUUCUGUGAAGCUUUGUACAAUAUAGCUUUUGAAAUGCG
Molecule: long non-coding RNA, 1328 nt
Organism: Felis catus (domestic cat)
Lineage: Eukaryota; Metazoa; Chordata; Mammalia; Carnivora; Felidae
Exons: 6
Source: RefSeq, a predicted model, not a curated record